GCCCGUCACUCUCGGGGUCGGUGCAGCGCGCGGUCUUCAGCUGGUGCCUCCGCCGGGCUAGACCAUCUGCCACUUUACACUGAGGGUCUCAGCGGGUCCGGAAGACAGAAUCGUACCUGAUUGGGACAGGUGACCUUACCAGGGAAACGGACAAUCUUUCAUCAAACGAACUUUACCCCGGAGAACCCAAGCAGGGCACCUCAGGAGGCUUCGUCCCGGCCAGGGACGACCAGCUCCGCCCCCGUCCCCGCCUCGAGCGGAGGUGGUCGGCCGAUUGGGAUUGUGGGAGAUGUAGUUCGCUAGAAGGGGCGAUGUGCGCCUGCGCCUCUCCGGAGGGACUUAGGGAGCGUCGAAAAUGAUGCAAAGACCGAGUUGGCUGCGUGGGUAGCUGCGGCUCAGAGGACGAAGAAAGAGUUGCAACAGUAUCACCCCUCUUCACGGGAACAGCUUCUUGCAAAAUAAUUUGUCCAGCAUCUACAUCUUCCUGGAAAAAUCUGAAGUCAAACAGGAGUUGGAUUCUGGGAUGGAUGUUUUCUUUGCCAAACACAGAAAUGAGGUAAAAGGAAGUUCUCAUCCACGAAGGUCCCGGAAGCAGCAAGUACCCUUCUUGCACAGCCACAGGCAUGCUGGGGUGCUCUGAACAGACACUCAUGGUGACAGGAAGGUGGGGAGUUCAAGCUGAUAUCAGCUUGUUGCUGGCACAUACUAUUAAAAAGAAGCAAGAGGUUAUUACAUAGUGUCUAUGUGCUUGACUUCUAACCACAAAGUGACCCGUCCACCAGACAGAUGCUAGAUUAGUUCUGUGUGGCUCAUGUCACCAAAGGCAUUGUCUAUUUUAUAUCACACCACAAGUGCUCUAACUACAUUCACCUAAGAAUACAUAAAGUCUUUGGAGGGAAAAUGCAUUUAUUGUCCAACUGUGUGACCAACUGUGUGCACACAUACACAAACAGGAUGCAGUCAAGGCUUUUGGGGAGAAGGCAGUAACAUAGAUAGUAUGUGUUUUCUGGCAAUAACCUCCUCCUUGCCAACAUCUGGCAAUGGUCUGUUUCCUGAGAGAGGAUGGACUCUUCAUUUUGGGACGUAUGGAAUCAUUCUCUUUUGCUUCUAAACAAGUAAAGGAAGGUCUUCCGAAUAUUUAUUCAGAAGAUGAAAUAUUAUCUUUGGAGUAAUGUGAAACAAAACUAAGCUACAUUAGAAAAAGUGACUAAUUACAGCAAGCCAAAGUAAAUGGAUAGAGAGCAGGUUAAUAAAUCAUCAUUGGGUCAUUCUUUAGAGUAAAACAAAGGAAAUUAAACUGUGACCUGUGUUGAAGUAUUAAUAAAAUAUCACAGUCAAACAGGAGUUGGAUUUCUGGGAAGGGUGUUCACUACUGGGAUUGUCUGGCAAGUUAACUGUUCUGGAGACCAUUUUCAAUUGAUUUCUCAAUGUGAUGUCAAAUAAUUUUUGCUUACCAUUCCACUUUCGGACAAAGGGGCCAGAAAGAAUUCUCAUGAAUCCUGCAAGACAGACUAUGUCUAUGGAGAACUCUUCAAGGACUAGGUCAAUUGCAUUGUCAAAUUCUACACGAUUUUUAUACAGUUUAUGAUUAAUUACCUGUAAUAGAAAAAGAUAAGCACAACCUUUUUCAAUGAAUUACCAAAAAUAAUUAAAAACUCAACCUUUACACAGCCCAUACUUCACUUCUUUGUAAAGAUAUACCUGAUAGAUUAUUAAGAAAGGGACAGGAUGAAGGAGAAGGCAAGGCCUGCACCCACCGACAAUGGCAGAAGUCCACAGAAUAAGUGCCCCACAGACCAGAGUCCAGUGAGGGCAGAUUAUGAGCUUAAAUAUGGCCCACAGGAAAGAUAUUUUCCCAAGUCACUUACUCUAGUGGGAAUACCAGCUCUUUCCGCUUUAUCUAACCCAGCUACUGCGGCUUUGUUGGAGAUAACAACAUCAAUUUGUGCAGAGCUAUUUGGUUCCCGAGUACUGUCUAUGAGUGCUUGCAGGUUCGAUCCUGAGAAGGGAGAAAAACAACAGUGAGUUCAUACUUUUUUUGAGACGGAGUCUCACUCUGUCGCAGGCUGGGAGUGCAGUGGCACGAUCUUGGUUCACUGCAACCUCUACCU
Piliocolobus tephrosceles (Ugandan red Colobus) is the source of this 2111-nucleotide long non-coding RNA. RefSeq lists it as uncharacterized. NCBI's taxonomy places the organism in Eukaryota, Metazoa, Chordata, Mammalia, Primates, Cercopithecidae. The transcript is spliced from 3 exons. The record is from RefSeq and is a predicted model, not a curated record.